AUGUCAUCCGACCACGUUGCCUCGGGGGCGACCCGGCCUUCGGGCGUCGGGGCCCCCGGUGGACCCCAACCAAACACUGCAUCUGAGCGUCUGAGUACUAUUUGAAUUAAUCAAAACUUUCAACAACGGAUCUCUUGGUUCUGGCAUCGAUGAAGAACGCAGCAAAAUGCGAUAAGUAAUGUGAAUUGCAGAAUUCAGUGAAUCAUCGAAUCUUUGAACGCACAUUGCGCCCCCUGGUACUCCGGGGGGCAUGCCUGUUCGAGCGUCAUUACACCACUCAAGCCUGGCUUGGUUUUGGGCGCCGCGGCCUCCGCGCGCCUCAAUGUGUCCGGCCGAGUCCCCGAUCUCAGAGCGUUGUGGCAACUCAAUCCGCUCGCGAGACCCCGGGGGCGUCGCGCCGUUAAACCCACACUUUCAAAGGUUGACCUCGGAUCAGGUAGG
RNAcentral lists this ribosomal RNA (441 nucleotides) under uncultured Teratosphaeriaceae. RNAcentral's name for it is "eukaryotic LSU rRNA". The stretch from base 115 to 268 matches the Rfam family "5.8S ribosomal RNA". The record is from RNAcentral. Lineage: Eukaryota; Fungi; Ascomycota; Dothideomycetes; Mycosphaerellales; Teratosphaeriaceae.